GAUGAACGCUGGCGGCGUGCCUAAUACAUGCAAGUCGAGCGAAUGGAUUAAGAGCUUGCUCUUAUGAAGUUAGCGGCGGACGGGUGAGUAACACGUGGGUAACCUGCCCAUAAGACUGGGAUAACUCCGGGAAACCGGGGCUAAUACCGGAUAACAUUUUGAACCGCAUGGUUCGAAAUUGAAAGGCGGCUUCGGCUGUCACUUAUGGAUGGACCCGCGUCGCGUUAGCUAGUUGGUGAGGUAACGGCUCACCAAGGCAACGAUGCGUAGCCGACCUUGGAGGGUGAUCGGCCACACUGGGACUGAGACACGGCCCAGACUCCUACGGGAGGCAGCAGUAGGGAAUCUUCCGCAAUGGACGAAAGUCUGACGGAGCAACGCCGCGUGAGUGAUGAAGGCUUUCGGGUCGUAAAACUCUGUUGUUAGGGAAGAACAAGUGCUAGUUGAAUAAGCUGGCACCUUGACGGUACCUAACCAGAAAGCCACGGCUAACUACGUGCCAGCAGCCGCCGCCG
RNAcentral lists this ribosomal RNA (515 nucleotides) under uncultured bacterium. Its description in RNAcentral is "partial 16S ribosomal RNA". It matches the Rfam family "Bacterial small subunit ribosomal RNA", at positions 28 to 523 of the family's 1533-position model. The record is from RNAcentral.